Molecule: ribosomal RNA, 251 nt
Filed under: uncultured bacterium
Lineage: Bacteria
Description: partial 16S ribosomal RNA
Rfam family: Bacterial small subunit ribosomal RNA
Source: RNAcentral
UACGGAGGAUGCGAGCGUUAUCCGGAUUUAUUGGGUUUAAGGGUGCGUAGGCGGGAUGCCAAGUCAGCGGUAAAAAUGCGGUGCUCAACGCCGUCGAGCCGUUGAAACUGGCGUUCUUGAGUGGGCGAGAAGUAUGCGGAAUGCGUGGUGUAGCGGUGAAAUGCAUAGAUAUCACGCAGAACUCCGAUUGCGAAGGCAGCAUACCGGCGCCCUACUGACGCUGAGGCACGAAAGCGUGGGUAUCGAACAGG